ACUCCUACGGGAGGCAGCAGUAGGGAAUCAUCCGCAAUGGACGAAAGUCUGACGGUGCAACGCCGCGUGAACGAUGAAGGUUUUCGGAUCGUAAAGUUCUGUUGUGAGGGAAGAACAGGUUCCGUUCGAAUAGGGCGGAGCUAUGACGGUACCUCACGAGAAAGCCCCGGCUAACUACGUGCCAGCAGCCGCGGUAAUACGUAGGGGGCAAGCGUUGUCCGGAAUUAUUGGGCGUAAAGCGCGCGCAGGCGGUCUCUUAAGUCUGAUGUGAAAUCUUGCGGCUCAACCGCAAGCUGGCAUUGGAAACUGGGAGACUUGAGUGUAGGAGAGGAAAGUGGAAUUCCACGUGUAGCGGUGAAAUGCGUAGAUAUGUGGAGGAACACCAGUGGCGAAGGCGACUUUCUGGCCUACAACUGACGCUGAGGUGCGAAAGCGUGGGGAGCAAACAGGAUUAGAUACCCCGGUAGUCC
RNAcentral lists this ribosomal RNA (470 nucleotides) under uncultured bacterium. Its description in RNAcentral is "bacterial SSU rRNA". It matches the Rfam family "Bacterial small subunit ribosomal RNA", at positions 335 to 796 of the family's 1533-position model. The record is from RNAcentral.